UACGAAGGGGGCUAGCGUUGCUCGGAAUCACUGGGCGUAAAGGGUGCGUAGGCGGGUCUUUAAGUCAGGGGUGAAAUCCUGGAGCUCAACUCCAGAACUGCCUUUGAUACUGAAGAUCUUGAGUUCGGGAGAGGUGAGUGGAACUGCGAGUGUAGAGGUGAAAUUCGUGGAUAUUCGCAAGAACACCAGUGGCGAAGGCGGCUCACUGGCCCGAUACUGACGCUGAGGCACGAAAGCGUGGGGAGCAAACAGG
RNAcentral lists this ribosomal RNA (253 nucleotides) under uncultured bacterium. RNAcentral describes it as "partial 16S ribosomal RNA". It matches the Rfam family "Bacterial small subunit ribosomal RNA", at positions 524 to 776 of the family's 1533-position model. The record is from RNAcentral.